Molecule: ribosomal RNA, 791 nt
Filed under: uncultured archaeon
Lineage: Archaea
Description: bacterial SSU rRNA
Rfam family: Archaeal small subunit ribosomal RNA
Source: RNAcentral
ACGGCUCAGUAACACGUAGCUAACCUGCCCUCAAGCCAAGAAUAUCCUCGGGAAACUGAGGUUAAUACUUGAUAGAUGAUAUGUUCUGGAAUGACGAAUCAUCGAAAUCUCGCGUGAGGAUGGGGCUGCGGCUGAUUAGGUAGUUGGCGGGGUAAUAGCCCACCAAGCCGAUGAUCAGUAAGGGCUCUUAGCGGAGAGGCCCUGAGAGGGAGUCUGAGACACUACUCCCAGCCCUACGGGGCGCAGCAGUCGGGAAACUUUUGCAAUAUGCGCAAGCGUGACAAAGCAAGCCAGAGUGCUGUUCUUUUUUUGAACAGCUUUUGUGGGAUGUAAAAAGUCCCACGAAUAAGGACUGGGCAAGACUGGUGCCAGCCGCCGCGGUAAUCCCAGCAGUCCAAGUCGCAGCCACAAUUGUUGGGUCUAAAAUAUCCGUAGCUUGCCUUUCAAGUCUCGUGUGAAAUCGGGCCUCUUAAGGGUCCGGCGUGCACGAGAUACUGUAAGGCUUGAGACCGGGAGAUGUACCGAGUACGCAGAGGGAAGCGGUAAAAUGUGUUGAUCCUCUGUGGACUAACAAUAGCGAAGGCACGGUACAAGAACGGAUCUGACAGUGAGGGAUGAAGGCGAGGGGCGCAAAGUGGAUUAGAUACCCAUGUAGUCCUCGCAGUAAACACUGCACACUAAACAUUAGGGCCUCCUCGAGAGGUUCUAGUGCUGUAGGGAAGCCGGAGAGUGUGCUACCUGGGAAGUAUAGUCGCAAGACCGAAACUUAAAGGAAUUGGCGGGGGAGCACA